RNAcentral lists this ribosomal RNA (449 nucleotides) under uncultured bacterium. Its description in RNAcentral is "bacterial SSU rRNA". It matches the Rfam family "Bacterial small subunit ribosomal RNA", at positions 328 to 793 of the family's 1533-position model. The record is from RNAcentral.
GCAGAGCACUCCUACGGGAGGCAGCAGUGGGGAAUCUUGCGCAAUGGGCGAAAGCCUGACGCAGCCAUGCCGCGUGAAUGAUGAAGGUCUUAGGAUUGUAAAAUUCUUUCACCGGGGACGAUAAUGACGGUACCCCGGAGAAGAAGCCCCGGCUAACUUCGUGCCAGCAGCCGCGGUAAUACGAAGGGGGCUAGCGUUGCUCGGAAUUACUGGGCGUAAAGGGCGCGUAGGCGGACAGUUUAGUCAGAGGUGAAAGCCCAGGGCUCAACCUUGGAAUUGCCUUUGAUACUGGCUGUCUUGAGUACGGGAGAGGUGAGUGGAACUCCGAGUGUAGAGGUGAAAUUCGUAGAUAUUCGGAAGAACACCAGUGGCGAAGGCGACUCACUGGCCCGUUACUGACGCUGAGGCGCGAAAGCGUGGGGAGCAAACAGGAUUAGAUACCCUGGUAG